Myodes glareolus (Bank vole) is the source of this 429-nucleotide long non-coding RNA. RefSeq lists it as uncharacterized. The record is from RefSeq and is a predicted model, not a curated record. Lineage: Eukaryota; Metazoa; Chordata; Mammalia; Rodentia; Cricetidae.
UCGGCUUCUGUGGGUUACGGUGGAGGUGCACGGAGGGGACGGACGCGCGCGGCGCUCCGCGUCCUACUGGGCCCGGCGUGCAGGGUCUUAUCAGCGCAGGCAGCUGGCGGCCUGUCUCCGCACGAGCUCCCCAGCCCAAUUCAAUGGCCAUUGUCCGCCGGCCCCUUUGUUCAGGAGGCGGCCACUUCCUGCAGGACCGAGCAGGGUGCGGGUGGCAGGAAACCAAGAUUCGGAGGCCCGCCUGGCCUGGGGUCCUGUCUCGGGGGCUCGUCUCCGUCCGAGACCUGUUGGGUCUGUGCCUCCUCCUGAUCGCGGCCACAGGUCACCGGCUCAGAGAAGAACCGCCAUUUUGGAUGGAACUCAUGUCCGGACGUGUAAACUCCAUUCCCAUUGCCUCCCCUCAGGAAUAAUCAUUGGGACUCAACUGUG